GCAGCAGCAAUUGUGCUGAAUUAUGAUUAUGAGAAUAGAAAAUGCUCUGUCUAGACCAAGGUGUCUCAAAGUUUGGGGCACUCGAACAGCAGCUUUAUGCCCACAGCAGCUACCUAGGGCCCAUCAUUCAGACUGAGUUAGGUUGGCAGGAGUAGGGAGGGAGGUAACGGUGAGACAGAAAGGAAGGUGGGAAAGGAGGGGCGAGGUCAGAAUCACGCAGUUUUAAAAAGGCAUCUCAGAUACUGAGUCUAAGGAUGCUGGUCUAUGCCAUCAGUCCUCAUGUUAAAUGAGAGCAAGACUGUCCCUUGAGAUCUGUGUUCCAAUUUUAUUUUGUUCUCUAGUGCAGUGGUCCCCAACUUUUUUGGCAUAAGCAACCAGUUUUGUGGAAGACAGUUUUUCCAUGGAUGUUGUUGGAGGGGAUGGUUUCAGGAUGAAACUGUUUCACCUUAGAUCAUCAGGUAUCAGAUUCUCACAAGGAGCACACAACCUAGAGCCCGCACAUAUGCAGUUCAUAAUAGGGUUUGAGCUCCUAUGAGAAUCUAAUGCCACCACCGAUCUGACAGGAGGUGGAGCUCAGGCGGUAAUUCUUGCUACCCUGCCGCUCACCUCCUGCUGUGCCGCCCGGUUCCUAAUGGUCCUGCAGACCAGUACCAGUCUGUGGCAUGGGGGCUGGGGACCUUUGCCCUAGUGCAUCCGUUUCCUAUGGCCACUGUAACAAAUUACCACAAAUUUAGUAGCUUAAAACAAGACACAGUUAUUACUGGACAGUUUUAGAGGUCAGAAGUCUGAAAUCAGUAUCACUGGGCUGAAGUUGAGGUGUUGGCAGGGUCAUCCUCUAAGGGAGAAUCUGUUCCCUGCCUUUCCCAGCUUUUAGAGCUGCGUUCCUUGCAUUGCUUGGCUCAUGGCCCCUUCCUUCACCUUCAGGGCACCAGCGCAGCAUCUCCUCUCUCCAACGGUGCUUCCCUCUGCUCCUGCCACACAGCCUUCUCCUCUUCUGUGUCAGAGCUCCCUCUGCCUUGCUUGUGAUUGCAUUGAGGGCCCACUGGUCUAACCCAAGAUCAUCCCCUCAUCUCAAAACCCUUAAUUUAAUCACAUCUGCAAAGUGUCUUCUACCAUCCAAGGUAAUAGUCUGUCAUAGGUUCCAGGGAUUAGGACAUUGAUACCUUUGGGAGCCUUAUUCAGCCUAUCACACCAAGUGGUGGUGUCUUUCUUAAAGUCACAUUUAUAAAGUCAGGUGUAACUAACACAAUAAAAUUCACUCCCUUAAAGUAUACAGUGUACAGUUUGAUGAGUUUUGACAAAAGUACACAGUUGUGUAACAGUUAUCACGAUCAAGAAACAGAACAUUUCCAUUACCCGAAAAAGUUUCCUUCUGUCUCUGUGUAGUGAUCUGUCUCUUGCCCCAGUAAUUUUGCCUUUUCCAGAAUGUCAUAUAAAUAUAAUCCUAUGUAUCCAGUUUUGUGUGUCUGGCUUUUUUCACUUAGCAUGAUGUUUUUGAGAUUUAUCCAUGUAGCCAUGUGUCAUUCAUUCCUUUUUGUUGCUGAAUGAUAUUCCAUUGAAUGGAAUUGUGUAUUUAUUCACCAGUUAACAAUAUUUGGGUUGUUUCCUGUUGGGAACAAUUUUAAGAACCUGCUAAGCUGUUUU
RNAcentral lists this long non-coding RNA (1644 nucleotides) under Homo sapiens (human). RNAcentral describes it as "HSALNT0090068". The record is from RNAcentral. Lineage: Eukaryota; Metazoa; Chordata; Mammalia; Primates; Hominidae.